This 301-nucleotide ribosomal RNA is filed under the name uncultured bacterium. RNAcentral describes it as "partial 16S ribosomal RNA". It matches the Rfam family "Bacterial small subunit ribosomal RNA", at positions 509 to 809 of the family's 1533-position model. The record is from RNAcentral.
CAGUAGCCGCGGGAAUACGUAGGUGGCAAGCGUUGUCCGGAAUUAUUGGGCGUAAAGGGCUCGCAGGCGGUUUCUUAAGUCUGAUGUGAAAGCCCCCGGCUCAACCGGGGAGGGUCAUUGGAAACUGGGAGACUUGAGUGCAGAAGAGGAGAGUGGAAUUCCACGUGUAGCGGUGAAAUGCGUAGAGAUGUGGAGGAACACCAGUGGCGAAGGCGACUCUCUGGUCUGUAACUGACGCUGAGGAACGAAAGCGUGGGGAGCGAACAGGAUUAGAUACCCCGGUAGUCCCUGUCUCUUAUAA